GGUCAUUGUCCAUUUGGAAAACCCAUUUGUGACCAAGCUUUAACUUCCUGACUGAUGUCUUGAAAUUUUGCUUCAAUAUAUCCACAUUAUUUUCCUGCUUCAUGAUGCCAUCUAUUUUGUGAAGUGCACCGGUCUCUCCUGCAGCAAACGACCCUCACCACAUGAUGCUGCCACCCCCGUGCACAUGGUUGGGAUGGUGUUCUUUGGCUUGCAAAAUUCUGAGGUCUUGGCUGAUUUCUUUUGAUUUUCCCAUUAUGUCAAGCACAGAGGCACUGAGUUUGAAGGUAGGCCUUGAAAUACAACCACAGGUACACCUUCAAUUGACUCAAAUUAUGUCAAUUAGCCUAUCAGAAGCUUCUGAAGCCAUGACAUCAUUUUCAGGAAUUUCCCAAGCUGUUUAAAGGCACAGUCAACUUAGUGUAUGUAAACUUCUGACCCACUGGAAUUGUGAUACAGUGAAUUAUAAGCGAAAUGAUCUGUCUGUAAGCAAUUGUUGGAAAAAUUACUUGUGUCAUGUACAAAGUAGAUGUCCUAACCGACUUGCCAAAACUAUAGUUUGUUAACAAAAACAUGUGUGUAGUGGUUGAAAAACUAGUUUUAAUGACUCCAACCUAAGUGUAUGUAAACUUCCGACUUCAACUGUAGCUGAUAUCUGUGCCGUCUGAAACUAGCCGUCUGCUCCCAGCCAAAGCCGCGGGAAGUAGGUGCUGCAGCACCCCCUGAAAAAUCAUCACCACACCUCCACCCCCAAACAUCUUCCCACGGCUGUGCUCCCAGCCCCAAGCCAUUGCUGAGGUGAUGUGUUGCACAGCACAUUGAACAGUACAGCACAUUGAACAGUACAGCACAUUGAACAGUACAGCACAUUGAAAGUAAGCCAUAAUGAGCAGUGUUAUGAGUCAGAGUACAUGGACUAGAUCAUUAACACAGGACCAGUUCAGUCUUAGGUCCAUUCAUUCAAUUCAACAACUCAUGUAUUGGCCAUAGUUACACAUAUCAUUGAUGUCAAUGAAGUCUCACCCUCAUACAGUGAUGAUCUCGUAGAUGAAUAAGCAAUAUUGGAAUUAUAUGCAAAGCCAUGAAUCAGGAAAUGAAUGUGUCUGCGGUAUGUAGAUGUAUUUGUGUGUCGGUGUGUGUGUGUGCACGCACGUGUGUCUCUCUGUGUGUGUUUCUUGCUACUUGUGUAACAUAAUUUUGUGUUUUAUGCUUGUUCUACCAUAGAAUAGAUGAGAUUGUAUUUGGGAAACUGUCUACAUACAUAAAUUGGGUUCUAGGACUUUUAGUCCCUAGUUCUGUCCAAUAACAUUCACAGAACCAUAUGGUUGAUUUCAUUACUCCAGUCAUUUUUCUUAAUUAUGUUAUUUUAUUUUUAUGCUUUACAGAUUAAUUUGAAAUGUAGAUAAGUUAGUCCUUUUAGAAUGACUGCAUUUAAUCAUCAAAAAGUCCACAAGUGAGAUAUUCCACCCAGUUCCUCUAUAAACAUAUCUUCUUGCCCCAAGGAUGACUGUACACAAUCUGACUUAAAUAAAGGAGCAGGGUAUUUAUGCUCAUAAUGUCUCAAACUCCACAUCUACAGUGUAUUCAGAUCGCACACCUUCGGCACAGCAGUGUGUGGACUUGUAAAAGUCUGUGGUUGUAAAGCAUUAACAUGGAUCUCAGGCUGAGUAAGACUUCCAGGGUAAGGAAUGGAUUUGGAGUUAAUCCCCAGUGUGCAUUGAGACCAUUAGUUAUUCUGAAAGAGUGAUUUACACCUUCACGUCAUCAGCCACUGCACAGGCCUACAUCUUACUCAGUACUCAGCCAGGACCUCUUGGAGUAGGGGGAGAAUUUGCCUAUAUAGUCACACCCUGAUGCAUAAACCUCAACCCUCACUGCAGCACAGUUCACAUAGCCACUCUAGUGAGAAAUCUGAUAGCACUUGUUUAAAACAAAAGCCAUAUUUAGUGUCUAUAGGCUAUUUUUGUAGGUGUGUGUGUGCGUGUGUGGCCUCAGAAUGCUACGGAGGACCCUGUCACUAGCUAGGUUUCCAUCCAAUUGGCAACAGAUUUCCAUGUGAAUAUUCUAAAAUCCGCAUAAAAUCUAUAUGCACAUUUUCCAACCAGAGAUGUGUUUCCAUCAAAUUGACUUGCAGAUAAGUCUGUGCGCACAUAAAAAUAACUUGCCCAGUUAAAUUUCCAUGUACCAAAUAAAAAAUACAAGGUAAAUGGGUUUCCAUCGCAUUUUCAACUCUACUGAUGGCUUUGUAACAAUACAUCACGUGCGCUCUAUCAAAUCAAAUUUUAUUUGUCAC
This 2290-nucleotide long non-coding RNA is filed under the name Salmo salar (Atlantic salmon). RNAcentral's name for it is "lncRNA (ENSSSAG00000096768.1)". Lineage: Eukaryota; Metazoa; Chordata; Actinopteri; Salmoniformes; Salmonidae. The record is from RNAcentral.